CCUACGGGAGGCAGCAGUGGGGGAUAUUGCACAAUGGGGGGAACCCUGAUGCAGCGACGCCGCGUGGGUGAAGAAGCGCCUCGGCGCGUAAAGCCCUGUCAGCAGGGAAGAAAAGGACGUUACCUGAAGAAGAAGCCCCGGCUAACUACGUGCCAGCAGCCGCGGUAAUACGUAGGGGGCAAGCGUUAGCCGGAUUUACUGGGUGUAAAGGGGGCGCAGACGGCGAUGCAAGCCAGGAGUGAAAGCCGGGGGCCCAACCCCGGGACUGCUCUUGGAACUGCGUGGCUGGAGUGCAGGAGGGGCAGGCGGAAUUCCUGGUGUAGGGGUGAAAUGCGUAGAUAUCAGGAGGAACACCGGUGGCGAAGGCGACCUGCUGGACUGCAACUGACGUUGAGGCCCGAAAGCGUGGGGAGCAAACAGGAUUAGAUACCCGUGUAGUC
This 440-nucleotide ribosomal RNA is filed under the name uncultured bacterium. RNAcentral describes it as "partial 16S ribosomal RNA". It matches the Rfam family "Bacterial small subunit ribosomal RNA", at positions 338 to 795 of the family's 1533-position model. The record is from RNAcentral.